UACGUAGGGUGCGAGCGUUAAUCGGAAUUACUGGGCGUAAAGCGUGCGCAGGCGGCGCGUUAAGACAGGUGUGAAAGCCCCGAGCUUAAUUUGGGAAUUGCGUUUGUGACUGGCGUGCUGGAGUGUGGCAGAGGGAGGUGGAAUUCCACGUGUAGCAGUGAAAUGCGUAGAGAUGUGGAGGAACACCGAUGGCGAAGGCAGCCUCCUGGGCCAGCACUGACGCUCAUGCACGAAAGCGUGGGGAGCAAACAGG
Molecule: ribosomal RNA, 253 nt
Filed under: uncultured bacterium
Lineage: Bacteria
Description: partial 16S ribosomal RNA
Rfam family: Bacterial small subunit ribosomal RNA
Source: RNAcentral